RNAcentral lists this ribosomal RNA (315 nucleotides) under uncultured bacterium. Its description in RNAcentral is "bacterial SSU rRNA". It matches the Rfam family "Bacterial small subunit ribosomal RNA", at positions 28 to 334 of the family's 1533-position model. The record is from RNAcentral.
GACGAACGCUGGCGGCGCGCCUAACACAUGCAAGUCGAACGGAGUUGUGUUGAAAGCUUGCUGGAUAUACAACUUAGUGGCGGACGGGUGAGUAACACGUGAGUAACCUGCCUCUCAGAGUGGAAUAACGUUUGGAAACGAACGCUAAUACCGCAUAACGUGAGAAGAGGGCAUCCUCUUUUUACCAAAGAUUUAUCGCUGAGAGAUGGGCUCGCGGCCGAUUAGGUAGUUGGUGAGAUAACAGCCCACCAAGGCGACGAUCAGUAGCCGACCUGAGAGGGUGAUCGGCCACAUUGGGACUGAGACACGGCCCAA